Molecule: unclassified non-coding RNA, 544 nt
Filed under: Hevea brasiliensis (rubber tree)
Lineage: Eukaryota; Viridiplantae; Streptophyta; Magnoliopsida; Malpighiales; Euphorbiaceae
Source: RNAcentral
CAGGGAUAAUCUCCUGAACUAGCUUAAGCUAGCCCUUAGGGGGAAUGCUUAACAAGUGAAAAUAGUUCAACACGCCCUACUCCAUAGGUUCUCAUUAUUUAUACACAAAGAUGACUUUUCCACAGCUCUAGGCUCCAUGAGAUUGAUUCUCUUUUCCGAAAAUUCCUAAGAAAUUCACCUGCAAUUGAUUACCAUACGUCAGCACAACACUAGGCCCUUCCAUCUUUGCUAGCUCAUUCUUCUUCCUCAACUUCUUUCUGUAGUAUACCCUUAAAGGCUUCGGCCCAUUGCCCAUAUUCAUUGAACUUGUAGGAUUGCUUCUAUCAAUACUUCCCUCUCGGAAAACUGACUUGUCCACAAGGCUGGUAGCAAGGAAUUGGUUAAUCAAAUAUAAGACAUCCAUGUGGCCUCUUCAGAGGUUUACCCUUUCAUUUAACCAAUACUUGAAAAUUUCUGAUGCCAAUGGUUGCAACCUGCCUUUCUCCAAUAAAGCUUCAGGUUCUAACAAUGUUUCUUCUAUUUCCAAACCUUUUGGUAACUCAGU